CAGUCGCCGCGGGAAUACGUAUGUCACGAGCGUUGUCCGGAUUUAUUGGGCGUAAAGCGCGUCUAGGUGGUUAUAUAAGUCUGAUGUGAAAAUGCAGGGCUCAACUCUGUAUUGCGUUGGAAACUGUAUAACUAGAGUACUGGAGAGGUAAGCGGAACUACAAGUGUAGAGGUGAAAUUCGUAGAUAUUUGUAGGAAUGCCGAUGGGGAAGCCAGCUUACUGGACAGAUACUGACGCUGAAGCGCGAAAGCGUGGGUAGCAAACAGGAUUAGAUACCCCUGUAGUCCCUGUCUCUUAUACA
Molecule: ribosomal RNA, 301 nt
Filed under: uncultured bacterium
Lineage: Bacteria
Description: partial 16S ribosomal RNA
Rfam family: Bacterial small subunit ribosomal RNA
Source: RNAcentral